UUCUUAAUUGCUCUUUUCUUUUUAGAUUAAAUAUUGAAAUUUGCUAUUUGAAUUAGUGAGUGCUUUAAAAUAUGUAUCCUGUGCAUUUUUUAUGAGAUUUUGAAGAGCAGUAUUCAAAUUAUAUUUUACUUCUCAGUUUCAGCGAAAACAUUGUUAGGAAAUUAUGGGCAUAUAAUCCAUUUAUUUAUGAAUUUGCAAUUUUUGAUUAGAUAACAAUCUAAAUAACUACUGGGUUUUUUUAAAAUCCUUUUUCUUUGACUUUUAGUCGUAAGAAAUAAUUUGUUUUGAGUAAAUAAUUUCGACGACUAUUUUUCCCAGAUUUAUCAUAAUGUAAUAGAGUCUUAUACUUAUGUUUAGCUCUAUAUUCUCCCUGUUUCAAUUCAAUAAAUCUAAUUUGUAAACGAUGAUCUUAUCUGUAUUCUAUGAUUUGUUGGAUCGUUUGUUGUUGAUGCUUGUUUGUGUAUAGAUGUUGAUGCUUAUAAUUAUGGGUACAUGUGCUAGGUAUGCUUUUGAGCAAUUGGUGGUAUGUGACUAUAAUUAAAUACAUUAAUAUGUCCUCAAAUUGCCUACGGAAGGUCUUAUAUAUUUGAUGGUAAUUUGAUGUAUAUGAAUAUAGUUUCAACAUGGGUGAUCACAGAGUUAGGAAUAAGGAUCCAAUGUCAUGGAUGAUUCCAUUGAUGAAUUAGCAACAUUUAUCAAUUAAGCAAUUUAUUUAUUUAGUUCUGCAUUUGAUACAGUCGGAGUAGGAACCAACUGUGUCAAUUAAGCAAUUUAUUUAUUUAGUUCUUUUCAUCAACUUGAGUUGUUCUUAACCUGCUAUAGCUGGAAAAAUGAGGGUGGUGAGUUGGAAUAAUGCUUGCUAAUAUGGUUAAACUUUUUGCAUAGGAUUUUGUCAUGUUCUUGCCAUUAUGAGUUGCACCCUUAAUAAAUAUCACAUCAAUUUGGUCCAAGAAUAGCAUUAUUUUUUUGUUAAUUCCUAGAUUUUGUUAUGGUUUUCUGUGAUUUUUUUUUUUUUUUUUUUUUUUUUUUUUUUUUUUUUUUUUUUUUUUUUUUGGAUGAAUUAGGCUUAUCUUUAUUUCGAGAUUUGACUCUCUGCCUAUUAUGUUAUUACGGGAAACCAGUAGCUGUGGAAAUUAAAUGGAACUUAUAAUUUGGGAUUUAGUUGAUUUGGAAAUACGGAAAUUGAAUUGAACUUUGAUUUUUGAGUUUCAGGUCUUUUGCAUGUUUAAAUUUUGAAAAGUAGCUUAUUGUUGUAAGUUAUUCAUUAUAAGAAGAAAAAAAUGAUGGUUGUAUGUAUAUGAUUUAUUGGAUUUGUGUUGAUUGAAUCAAUUAGCAGCAACUACAACAAGAAAUUGGUAGAUUGAAUAUGUAAUGGACUGGAUUUUCUGAAUCUUGAGCAAGGAGAGAGAAAAUUAUCGUUUUUGUGGUGUUGGGACAGAAAGCAAUGUUGUCCGAGAGUGGUGACCAUCAGACGGUCCCAUUAUCAGUGUUGUUAAAGCGGGAAUUGGCUAAUGAGAAGCUGGAGAAUCCUGAGAUUUUGCACGAUGAAAUGUUGAGCUCUCAUGUGAGACGUGGAUGAGGUUCUUACACUUUCUCAUUCAGCUGAUGAUUUCACGGGUCAAAUAAGAGAUAAAAGGAUAUGGAACUUUAUGAUUUGAAGUAUAAGAAGAAACGAAAUUUUUUUAUUUUUUCUAUAUGAUACAUGAUUGUAAGUAUAAGACUACAUACAUUGGUGAUGUACAAUUCAAUAUAGAAGGGAUUGUUUCACAUUUGUACAUACAAAUGUAUUAUUUGCAUCAAAAUGACUAUACACGUUUGAAGAAAUUUGUA
Long non-coding RNA from Olea europaea var. sylvestris, 1830 nucleotides. RefSeq lists it as uncharacterized. The transcript is spliced from 2 exons. Lineage: Eukaryota; Viridiplantae; Streptophyta; Magnoliopsida; Lamiales; Oleaceae. The record is from RefSeq and is a predicted model, not a curated record.